ACUCCUACGGGAGGCAGCAGUGGGAAUAUUGCACAAUGGGGAAAGCCCAUCGAUGCAGCCAUGCCGCGCUGUGUGAAGAAGGCCAAUUCGGGCUUGGUAAAGACACUUUCAGUAGGGAGGAAGGUAGUGUAGUUAACACCUGCAUUAUUUGACGUUACCUACAGAAGAAGCACCGGCUAACUCCGUGCCAGCAGCCGCGGUAAUACGGAGGGUGCGAGCGUUAAUCGGAAUUACUGGGCGUAAAGCGCAUGCAGGCGGCCUGUUAAGUCAGAUGUGAAAGCCCGGGGCUUAACCUCGGAAUUGCAUUUGAAACUGGCAGGCUAGAGUCUUGUAGAGGGGGUG
This 342-nucleotide ribosomal RNA is filed under the name uncultured bacterium. RNAcentral's name for it is "bacterial SSU rRNA". It matches the Rfam family "Bacterial small subunit ribosomal RNA", at positions 335 to 662 of the family's 1533-position model. The record is from RNAcentral.